Molecule: non-coding RNA, 5170 nt
Organism: Callithrix jacchus (white-tufted-ear marmoset)
Lineage: Eukaryota; Metazoa; Chordata; Mammalia; Primates; Cebidae
Source: RefSeq, a predicted model, not a curated record
CCGGCGACAGGGUACGCGGAGCAAUGGCGGCCGGCACCGCCCAUCUGCCCCACCCCGGCUUCACGUGACUAACUGGGCUUGUGCGCGCAAUCGGGAGGGGCGGACUCCUUUCCCCGCAGGCCGGAAACCCCGCACCUAAUAGUGGGAAAAAGACAGCCUUACCACUGUCACCUUGGCCAGCUUCCACGGCGGAGAUCCACAAAGCCGACGGUAAGAAAUCUGAGGCCGUUUUGUCAGAGCUCCAGGAUCUCAGCUGCAGCAGCUCCCGCUGUGCGACUUGUCCUGGGCGUCCAGGUCUCGGCUCCUGCGGGCCAGGCAGCUCCACCUCCCAGGCGUCACCCCUGACAGCCGCCCUGUGGAUCCUCCGCUGUUCGGCGUCCCGGAUUCGGUGCCCGGAAGCGGUGUAGACGGAGUCUAUGGGGCUCAGGACCUGAGGUUCUGCUCUGCCUUGGCCCCCACUUGGCGUGGAUGGCGCACAGAUUGGUGUCCUCAAAGAGCCCCACCAGGUAGGCCUCGCAGGCCUCCUGCAGCGCCAUCACCGCAGAGCUCUGGAAACGCAGGUCGGUGUUAAAGCACUGCGCGAUCUCACGGACCAGACGCUGGAAUGGCAGCUUGCGAAUCAGUAGCUCGGUGGACUUCUGGUACUGGCGGAUUUCCCGGAGAGCGACGGUGCCCGGCCGGUAGCGGUGCGGCUUCUUCCCGCCGCGGGUGGCUGGAGCGCUCUUGCGAGCAGCCUUGGUGGCCAGCUGCUUGCGCGGCGUUUGCCGCCAGUGGACUUACGAGCUGUUUGCUUCGUACGAGCCAUGAGAAGGGGUUUCAGAAAAUGGUUGCGACUCGAGGGCUAUUUUCUUACUCCGCUAUGGUUUGUGUUCCACUCCCAUAGGAAUCUUUUUUUUUUUUUUUUUUUUUGAUAUUACACUUUAAUAGGUUUCAGAAGGCUCCGUGGAGAAAUGCUAAUAGGCUGAAAUGUCCCAAUCGAGAGGGAUUCAGUUCGCGCUCAGCCGAUCUAAUCCUUUUUUCUGCUCUGAUUUUUUGUUGGUGGGGGGAAAGGGGAGCACCACGUAAAGAGGGGCUUUGGGGAGGGGCGCGCGGUGCGAAGGGCGGCAGCCCGGGCCUGGGCCGAGCCGGGGGCGCGCCCUGGUCCGCGUUUCUAUAGGAACCUCUUUUAGAAGAUCAGAGACUCACCCGCUGCCCGCCGCCGCGGCCUCUCCAAAAUAUUAAUCAGUAAUCAUCUGACACUGCGUUUCAGGGAGGGACCUGCAGGCCAGUGCUAGGAAAACAGCCUUUUCCCCUGCCCAUCUCACCCGACCGCGCUGCUGGGGGAGAGGGAAUGAAUCGCUGCUUUGUAUUAAAAGGAAGAAAAAAAAAAACAGGGAAAAAGCAGCCCUUGUCUGUUUUGGCGUCUCCACCGCGCGUACUAGAAACGCACCCUAGGGGAGGCGGGGGCCCGGGGCUCGGGGCAGGGGGCAGGGGCCAGGGUGCAGCUCGCCGGGCCCCCAGGCCCUCCCCAGCUCGCUUGGCUUGUCACCUCCUCCUGCCUGCAUAGGAAUCUUUUUGGCUUGCUGCAUGCUAGAGGAGACCAGUCAGCUAGCUCUUCCUGAAACUACAAUGUCUCCGAUAUUUUCAACUCAAAAUAAUCACUAUAGCAAUCUAGCAUAUUUUGGGAUGGCACAUACUUUAGUACUUCAAGAUACAGAAAGCAAGAAAACCAGGGAAACCUACAGACCUACAACAAUAUUUGAGUUCCUCUCAUUUUAAAACAAGUUUCCUCUAAAACUUACCUCCAGGUUGGGAGGUGGCUCACGCCUGUAAUCCCAGCACUUUGGAAGGCUGAGGCGGGUGGAUCAUGAGGUCAGGAGUUCGAGACCAGCCUAGCCAACAUGGCAAAAACCCGUCUCUACUAAAAGCACAAAAAUUAGCCAGGUGUGGUGGCGGGCACCUGUAAUCCCAGCUAUUCAGGAAGCUGAGGCAGGAGAAUCCCUUAAACCAGGAGGCAGAGGCUGCAGUGAGGCGAUGUUGCGCCUCUGCACUCCAGCCUGGGCGACAAGAGCAAGACUCUGCCUCAAAACAACCAAUAACAAAAAACCCACGUCCAUUCAUCUGCAAACAUAGCUCCUUUGCUUCCCAUGCAGACUUUCCCAGGGUCACGUUUUUGUUUUGUUUUUUUUUGCUUGGUGAGUGUGUGUGUGUGUGUGUGUGUGUGUGUGUGUCGGAAUCUUGCUCUGUUGCCCACAGUGGAGUACAGUAGUGCAAUUUUGGCUCACUGCAGCCUCCACCUCCAGGGUUCAAGUGAUUCUCCUGUCUCAGCCUCCCAACUAGCUAGGAUUACAGGUGCCCACCACCAUGCCUGCCUAAUUUUUGUAUUUGUAGUAGAGACAGGUUUCCCCAGGUUGGCCAGGCUGGUCUUGAACCCUUGACCUCAGGUGAUCCACCCAUCUUGGCCUCCCUAAAUGCUGGGAUUACGGGCAUGAGCCACUGCGCCCAGCCCCCCAGGGUCAUGCUACACUUGCUGUCCUCACUUCUAGCCUCCCGUUCAUAUAUUUCUUCCCUGGGAAAAGCAUCCCUCCCCUCUGUCCCCUGGAACUGCAAUAGGUCCCUUAAACCAGAGUUAGGUCUUAAAUGGAAUUCUGGAAAGCAAGAAACUAAAUGAGAGAUUUCCAUGGUAGAGGAUUGCCAGUGGUGUUGUGUAAGGUGGUAUAGGGUGGGAGAGUCCGUUUAGAGUUGGAAUAGCUGUCCCCAGGUGAGGAGAGGGGUGGCUUGUACUCAUCUAGUUCCAGAGGAUUCAGGCAAAGAGCUUUGGAAUACUAAUCCCCCAUUAAUCUGGUUUUAAUUAUUGGAGAUCGACUAAGGUCUGAAAAUAUUAAAUAGAAAAUUCCAGAAAUACCAUAUGCAAUUCAUAGAUUAUUCAUUGUGAACAGGUCUGAGUAGAUGAUAAAAUCUCUUGCUAUCCUGCUCAUCUCACCCAGUUCAUGAAUUCUCCCUAAUCCACCCGUUAGUCAUUCAGUAGCCAACUCAGUUAGCAGGUGUGUAGAUAUCACAGUGCUUGCGUUCAAGGAGCCCUUAUUUCACUUCAUAAUGACCCCAAAGGAAGAGAGUAGUGAUGCUGGCAAUUUAGAGAUGCUGGAGGAGACCAUAAAGUGCUACCUUUAAGGGAAAAGGUGAAAGCUAGCCUAGCGUGGUGGCUCACACUUGUAAUCCCAGCACUUUGGGAAGCUGAGGUGGGUGGAUCAUGAGGUCAGGAGAUCAAGACCAUCCUGGCCAACAUGGUGAAAGCCCAUCUCUACUAAAAAGCAAAAAAUUAGCUGAGUAUAGUGGCAUGCACCUGUAGUCCCCAGCUACUUGGGAGCCUGAGGCAGGAGAAUCACUUGAACCUGGAAGGCGAAGGUUGCAGUGAGCCGAGAUUGAGCCAUUGCACUCCAGCCUGAGUGACAGAGUGAGAUUCCUUCUCAAAAAAAAAGGAGGUCGGAGCGCAGUGGCUCACGCCUGUAAUCCCAGCACUUUGGGAGGUCAAGGUGGGCAUAUUGCCUGACAUCAAGAGUUCAAGACCAGCCUGACCAACACGAUGAAACCCCCAUCUUAAAAUAAAAUAAAAACAGAAAACUUAGCUUGGCAUUGUUGUGGGCUCCCAUAAUCCCAGCCACUCAGGAGGCUGAGACAGAAUCAUUUGAACCCAGGAGGUGGAGGUAGCAGUGAGCAGAUUUCACCACCGCACUCCAGCUCAGCUGAUGGAGACUCUGUCUCAAAAUAAUAAUAGUAAUAAUAAUUAAGGAAAAUAUAUAUAUAUACACACACACACACACACACACACAUUCACAAAGGAAAAAAUCCAGGUGUGGAGGCUUACUCCUGUAAUUCCAGCACUUUGGGAGGCUGAGGUGGGAGAUCGGAUUGAUUCCAGGAGUUCAAGACCAGCCUGGGCAACAUGGGUGAAACCCUGUCUCUACUAAGAAAAAAAAAAUUAGCCAGGUGUGCUGGCAUGGGACUGUAAUUUCGGCCACUGGGGAGGCUGAAGCAGGAGAAUUGCUUGAACUGAGAUCGUGCCACAGCACCCAGGCUGGAGUGCAAUGGCUCAAUCUCUGCUCACUGCAACUGUGGCCUCCCAGGUUCAAGUGAUUGUCCUGCCUCAGCCUCCUGAGUAGCUGGGAUUACAAGCACCCACCACCAAGCCCAGCCUGGGCCAGGUAGGCCUGCGUACCCUGAUGGUUCCCUCUCUAUGACACAUUGGGAACUUAUUUUUGAGACGCCCAGGCUGGAGUGCAAGUAGCCUAGGCUCACUGCAACCUCCACCUCCUGAGUUCAAUUAGUUCUCCUGCCUUAGCCUCCUGGGUAGCUGGGAUUGCAGGUUGCACGCCACCACAACCAGCUAAUUUUUUUUAUCUCCCAUAGAGAGGAGGUUUUACCAUGUUGGUCAGGCUGGUCUCGAACUCUCAGCUUGUGAUCUGCCCACCUCAGCCUCCCAAAGUGCUGGAAUUACAGGGGUGAGCCACCAUGCCUGGCCGACACAUUGGGAACUUGAUGCCCUUUGCCUGCCACUGUCUCCCUGAGGGCCAGGAAUGUACCCAACUCUUCUCUUUGUCCCUAGCACCCAAGACAGAGUCAGGCUCAGCUCCUGCCUUUGUGGCAGCCUGUAUCUACAGGCCCAGCCCUGGCCUCCCAGUGGCCUCUUUAGGCCAAGCUAGUACCUCCUGGUGGCCUCUCUGGGCCCAGUGUUGGCUUUCUGAGGUUUCAGUGAGGCAAGAGGACACCACUGCAUUCCAGCCUGGGCGACAGAGCAAGACACUGUCUCCAAAAAAAAAAAAAAAAAAAAAAAUGCCAAAGCCUGAAAAAAGACCUCCAAAGGCCAAUCUCAGGUUCUACAAUGUGAUGAUACAGAGUGAUUGGGGAAUUUGCAAAAAUCUUGUGACCUCUGGAAUAAUGGAUGAAUUCAGGCCACUCUCACCCUCCUAACUUGGUAGUCUUUUAUUAGUUUUAGAGGGGUAGCUUGUUGGGUUGGCUUUCUUAUUUAAACUUUGAACUAAAUUUCUGAUUUCUGUGACUGUCUCAAUUUUACAAAGGCAGUCUUUUCAGAGAGGUUAGAACCAGAGCAACUCCAUCUUGAAUAGGGUCUGGGUAAAAUGAGGCUGAAUCCUGCUGGGCCACAUUUCCAGGAUGUCAGUCAUUCUAUUUUUUU